ACGAGGGGGGCAAGCGUUGUUCGGAAUUAUUGGGCGUAAAGCGCGCGCAGGCGGUUUCUUAAGUCUGAUGUGAAAGCCCACGGCUCAACCGUGGAGGGUCAUUGGAAACUGGGGAACUUGAGUGCAGAAGAGAAAAGCGGAAUUCCACGUGUAGCGGUGAAAUGCGUAGAGAUGUGGAGGAACACCAGUGGUGAAGGCGGGUCUCUGGGCAUUUCCUGACGCUGAGGCGCGAAAGCGUGGGGAGCAAACGGGA
This 253-nucleotide ribosomal RNA is filed under the name uncultured prokaryote. RNAcentral's name for it is "partial 16S ribosomal RNA". It matches the Rfam family "Bacterial small subunit ribosomal RNA", at positions 525 to 777 of the family's 1533-position model. The record is from RNAcentral.